CGGCAACAGCUCAAAUUUGAAAUCUGGCCUCUUUGGGGCCCGAGUUGUAAUUUGUAGAGGAUGUUUUGGGUACCGCCUCGGUUUAAAUUUCUUGGAACAGAAUGUCAGAGAGGGUGAGAAUCCCGUCUUAGACCGGCGGUAGGGCCCGUGUAAAACACCUUCGAC
This 165-nucleotide ribosomal RNA is filed under the name Exophiala sp. Its description in RNAcentral is "partial large subunit ribosomal RNA". It matches the Rfam family "Eukaryotic large subunit ribosomal RNA", at positions 99 to 261 of the family's 3401-position model. Lineage: Eukaryota; Fungi; Ascomycota; Eurotiomycetes; Chaetothyriales; Herpotrichiellaceae. The record is from RNAcentral.